Molecule: non-coding RNA, 93 nt
Organism: Eucalyptus grandis
Lineage: Eukaryota; Viridiplantae; Streptophyta; Magnoliopsida; Myrtales; Myrtaceae
Source: Rfam
AGGCAGUGAUGAUCAACUUGAGAAAGUCAUGCACCACUCUGAUUUCAAUCCGUGCUGAUAAAUUUCUCAACACCCAUUUUUCUAUCUGAGCCU